UACGUAGGGGGCAAGCGUUGUCCGGAUUUAUUGGGCGUAAAGAGCGCGUAGGCGGCCACACAGGUCAGCUGUGAAAACUCGAGGCUCAACCUCGAGACGUCGGUUGAAACCGUAUGGCUAGAGUCCGGAAGAGGAGAGUGGAAUUCCCGGUGUAGCGGUGAAAUGCGCAGAUAUCGGGAAGAACACCCGUGGCGAAGGCGGCUCUCUGGGACGGUACUGACGCUGAGACGCGAAAGCGUGGGGAGCGAACAGG
Molecule: ribosomal RNA, 253 nt
Filed under: uncultured bacterium
Lineage: Bacteria
Description: partial 16S ribosomal RNA
Rfam family: Bacterial small subunit ribosomal RNA
Source: RNAcentral